AACCAUAGAAACCUGCGGAGUACCUGCGGAAGGAUCAUUACUGUGGGGGCCCCCCCGGGGGCCCCUACCGAGAUAGAACCCCUUGAAUUUUUGAGCACCCACUGUUUCCUCGGCGGGCUCGCCCGCCAGCGGGGACCAACCAAAAACCUCCACCGCAGUGUCAGUAGUCAAAAACGUACCAAACAAAUCAAUCAAAACUUUUAGCAAUGGAUCU
This 214-nucleotide unclassified non-coding RNA is filed under the name soil metagenome. RNAcentral's name for it is "partial contains 5.8S ribosomal RNA, internal transcribed spacer 2, and large subunit ribosomal RNA". The record is from RNAcentral.